ACAUAAUUUUAUAUAAAUCACACACACAUCGUCACAUUUGUCGGGGUGCUUUUAUUUUGUUUGUUAAUCGCCUGCUUAGCUCGCUUUUAGUUAGAAAUAAAGGUCGAAAAAAUGGGAUGUGUGGAGGCCUAAC
This 133-nucleotide small RNA is filed under the name Moritella yayanosii. RNAcentral describes it as "t44". It matches the Rfam family "t44 RNA". Rfam says of the family: This family consists of a number of bacterial RNA genes of between 135 and 170 bases in length. The t44 gene is found between the map and rpsB genes in all species in the full alignment apart from Shigella flexneri. The function of this RNA is unknown. Lineage: Bacteria; Pseudomonadati; Pseudomonadota; Gammaproteobacteria; Alteromonadales; Moritellaceae. The record is from RNAcentral.